CUGCUGGCACGUAGUUAGCCGUGGCUUUCUGGCUAAUACCGCAUAGGUCUUUGAGUCACCUGGCUUAAAGAGGAAAGACGGCUUCGGCUGUCACUGAAGGAUGGUCCCGCGGUGCAUUAGCUAGUUGGUAAGGUAAUGGCUUACCAAGGCAAUGAUGCAUAGCCGACCUGAGAGGGUGAUCGGCCACAUUGGGACUGAGACACGGCCCAAACUCCUACGGGAGGCAGCAGUAGGGAAUCUUCCGCAAUGGACGAAAGUCUGACGGAGCAACGCCGCGUGUGUGAAGAAGGUCUUCGGAUCGUAAAGCACUGUUAUUAGAGAAGAACACCCGGUAGAGUAACUGUUACCGGUCUGACGGUAUCUAACCAGAAAGCCACGGCUAACUACGUGCCAGCAG
RNAcentral lists this ribosomal RNA (397 nucleotides) under uncultured bacterium. Its description in RNAcentral is "bacterial SSU rRNA". It matches the Rfam family "Bacterial small subunit ribosomal RNA", at positions 130 to 514 of the family's 1533-position model. The record is from RNAcentral.